This 806-nucleotide ribosomal RNA is filed under the name uncultured organism. Its description in RNAcentral is "SSU rRNA". It matches the Rfam family "Bacterial small subunit ribosomal RNA", at positions 685 to 1486 of the family's 1533-position model. The record is from RNAcentral.
AAUGCGCAGAUAUCAGGAGGAACACCAGUGGCGAAGGCGGUUCUCUGGGCCUUUCCUGACGCUGAGGAGCGAAAGCGUGGGGAGCGAACAGGCUUAGAUACCCUGGUAGUCCACGCUGUAAACGGUGGGUACUAGGUGUGGGGUCCAUUCCACGGGUUCCGUGCCGUAGCUAACGCUUUAAGUACCCCGCCUGGGGAGUACGGCCGCAAGGCUAAAACUCAAAGGAAUUGACGGGGCCCCGCACAAGCGGCGGAGCAUGCGGAUUAAUUCGAUGCAACGCGUAGAACCUUACCUGGGUUUGACAUGGAUCGGGAGUGCUCAGAGAUGGGUGUGCCUCUUUUGGGGUCGGUUCACAGGUGGUGCAUGGCUGUCGUCAGCUCGUGUCGUGAGAUGUUGGGUUAAGUCCCGCAACGAGCGCAACCCUUGUUCACUGUUGCCAGCACGUUAUGGUGGGGACUCAGUGGAGACCGCCGGGGUCAACUCGGAGGAAGGUGGGGAUGACGUCAAGUCAUCAUGCCCCUUAUGUCCAGGGCUUCACGCAUGCUACAAUGGCUGGUACAGAGAGUGGCGAGCCUGUGAGGGUGAGCGGAUCUCGGAAAGCCGGUCUCAGUUCGGAUUGGGGUCUGCAACUCGACCUCAUGAAGUCGGAGUCGCUAGUAAUCGCAGAUCAGCAACGCUGCGGUGAAUACGUUCCCGGGGCUUGUACACACCGCCCGUCAAGUCAUGAAAGUUGGUAACACCCGAAGCCGGUGGCCUAACCGUUGUGGGGGAGCCGUCGAAGGUGGGACUGGUGAUUAGGACUAAGU